RNAcentral lists this ribosomal RNA (277 nucleotides) under uncultured prokaryote. RNAcentral's name for it is "partial 16S ribosomal RNA". It matches the Rfam family "Bacterial small subunit ribosomal RNA", at positions 524 to 800 of the family's 1533-position model. The record is from RNAcentral.
UACGUAUGGGGCAAGCGUUAUCCGGAAUUAUUGGGCGUAAAGAGUGCGUAGGUGGUUACCUAAGCGCAAGGUUUAAUCUUGAGGCUCAACCUCAUUCUGCCUUGCGAACUGGGCUACUUGAGUGCAGGAGGGGAAAGCGGAAUUCCCAGUGUAGCGGUGAAAUGCGUAGAUAUUGGGAAGAACACCGGUGGCGAAGGCGGCUUUCUGGACUGUAACUGACACUGAGGCACGAAAGCGUGGGGAGCAAACAGGAUUAGAUACCCCCCGUAGUCCCUGA